GCAUAUCAAUAAGCGGAGGAAAAGAAACCAACAGGGAUUGCCCUAGUAACGGCGAGUGAAGCGGCAACAGCUCAAAUUUGAAAUCUGGCCCUCGGGUCCGAGUUGUAAUUUGUAGAGGAUGUUUUUGGUGAGGUACCUUCCGAGUUCCCUGGAACGGGACGCCAUAGAGGGUGAGAGCCCCGUCUGGUUGGAUACCGAUCCUCUGUAAAACUCCUUCAACGAGUCGAGUAGUUUGGGAAUGCUGCUCUAAAUGGGAGGUAUAUGUCUUCUAAAGCUAAAUAUUGGCCAGAGACCGAUAGCGCACAAGUAGAGUGAUCGAAAGAUGAAAAGCACUUUGAAAAGAGAGUUAAAAAGUACGUGAAAUUGUUGAAAGGGAAGCGCUUAUGACCAGACUUGGACUUGGUUGAUCAUCCUGGGUUCUCCCUGGUGCACUCUUCCAGUUCAGGCCAGCAUCAGUUCGUCGCGGGGGAUAAAGGCUUCGGGAAUGUGGCUCCUCCGGGAGUGUUAUAGCCCGUUGUGUAAUACCCUGCUUUGGACUGAGGUUCGCGCAUCUGCAAGGAUGCUGGCGUAAUGGUCAUCAGCGACCCGUCUUGAAACACGGACCAAGGAGUCGUCUUCGUAUGCGAGUGUUCGGGUGUUAAACCCCUACGCGUAAUGAAAGUGAACGCAGGUGAGAGCUUCGGCGCAUCAUCGACCGAUCCUGAUGUUCUCGGAUGGAUUUGAGUAAGAGCAUACGGGGCCGGACCCGAAAGAAGGUGAACUAUGCCUGUAUAGGGUGAAGCCAGAGGAAACUCUGGUGGAGGCUCGCAGCGGUUCUGACGUGCAAAUCGAUCGUCAAAUAUGAGCAUGGGGGGCGAAAGACUAAUCGAACCCUCCUAGUAGCUGGUUUCCGCCGA
RNAcentral lists this ribosomal RNA (896 nucleotides) under Cylindrocladiella australiensis. RNAcentral describes it as "LSU rRNA". It matches the Rfam family "Eukaryotic large subunit ribosomal RNA", at positions 38 to 964 of the family's 3401-position model. The record is from RNAcentral. Lineage: Eukaryota; Fungi; Ascomycota; Sordariomycetes; Hypocreales; Nectriaceae.